RNAcentral lists this microRNA (16 nucleotides) under Plutella xylostella (diamondback moth). RNAcentral's name for it is "pxy-miR-8546". The record is from miRBase by way of RNAcentral. Lineage: Eukaryota; Metazoa; Arthropoda; Insecta; Lepidoptera; Plutellidae.
GGCUGUUGGCGAACUG